UACGUAAGGGGCAAGCGUUGUCCGGAAUCACUGGGCGUAAAGCGCACGUAGGCGGUGUAGCAAGUUGGGGGUGCAAGCUCCGGGCUUAACCCGGAAACUGCCUCCAAAACUACUAUGCUUGAGAGUCAAAGGGGAAGCUGGAAUUCCCGGUGUAGUGGUGAAAUGCGUAGAUAUCGGGAGGAACACCAGUGGCGAAGGCGACUACCUGGCCUGUUCUUGACGCUGAGGCGCGAAAGCUAGGGGAGCAAACGGG
Molecule: ribosomal RNA, 253 nt
Filed under: uncultured bacterium
Lineage: Bacteria
Description: partial 16S ribosomal RNA
Rfam family: Bacterial small subunit ribosomal RNA
Source: RNAcentral